CAGUCGCCGCGGUAAUACAGAGGGUGCGAGCGUUAAUCGGAUUUACUGGGCGUAAAGCGUGCGUAGGCGGCUUUUUAAGUCGGAUGUGAAAUCCCUGAGCUUAACUUAGGAAUUGCAUUCGAUACUGGGAAGCUAGAGUAUGGGAGAGGAUGGUAGAAUUCCAGGUGUAGCGGUGAAAUGCGUAGAGAUCUGGAGGAAUACCGAUGGCGAAGGCAGCCAUCUGGCCUAAUACUGACGCUGAGGUACGAAAGCAUGGGGAGCAAACAGGAUUAGAUACCCGCGAGUCCCUGUCUCUUAUACA
This 301-nucleotide ribosomal RNA is filed under the name uncultured bacterium. RNAcentral describes it as "partial 16S ribosomal RNA". It matches the Rfam family "Bacterial small subunit ribosomal RNA", at positions 509 to 808 of the family's 1533-position model. The record is from RNAcentral.